RNAcentral lists this ribosomal RNA (292 nucleotides) under uncultured bacterium. RNAcentral's name for it is "partial 16S ribosomal RNA". It matches the Rfam family "Bacterial small subunit ribosomal RNA", at positions 505 to 796 of the family's 1533-position model. The record is from RNAcentral.
GUGCCAGCCGCCGCGGUAAUACGUAGGUGGCAAGCGUUGUCCGGAUUUACUGGGUUUAAAGGGUGCGUAGGCGGUUUGUUAAGUCAGUCGUUAAAGGCAGCAGCUUAACUGUUGUAAGGCGAUUGAUACUGGCGAACUUGAAUUAUUGGGAGGUUGUCGGAAUGCGUAGUGUAGCGGUGAAAUGCUCAGAUAUUACGCAGAACGCCGAUUGCGAAGGCAGAUAACUACCAAUAUAUUGACGCUGAGGCACGAAAGUGUGGGGAGCGAACAGGAUUAGAAACCCUUGUAGUCC